RNAcentral lists this ribosomal RNA (500 nucleotides) under uncultured bacterium. Its description in RNAcentral is "partial 16S ribosomal RNA". It matches the Rfam family "Bacterial small subunit ribosomal RNA", at positions 30 to 523 of the family's 1533-position model. The record is from RNAcentral.
AUUGAACGCUGGCGGAAUGCUUUACACAUGCAAGUCGAACGGCAGCACGGACUUCGGUCUGGUGGCGAGUGGCGAACGGGUGAGUAAUGUAUCGGAACGUGCCCAGUCGGGGGGGAUAACGUAGUGAAAAUUACGCUAAUACCGCAUACGAUCUAUGGAUGAAAGCGGGGGAUCGCAAGACCUCGCGCGAUUGGAGCGGCCGAUAUCAGAUUAGGUAGUUGGUGGGGUAAAGGCCCACCAAGCCAACGAUCUGGAGCGGGUCUGAGAGGACGACCAGCCACACUGGACCUGAGACACGGUCCAGACUCCUACGGGAGGCAGCAGUGGGGAAUUUUGGACAAUGGGCGAAAGCCUGAUCCAGCCAUUCCGCGUGCAGGAUGAAGGCCCUCGGGUUGUAAACUGCUUUUGUACAGAACGAAAAGGUUUCUACUAAUACUAGGAGCUCAUGACGGUACUGUAAGAAUAAGCACCGGCUAACUACGUGCCAGCCGCCGCCGUAA